UGCACACAGUUUAGUUCUAGCUUGAUAACUGAUGCAUUUUUGAGAGUAAGGCAAAGAAUGGCAGUAACAGAGAAGUCAUAAAACUUGCAAAGAUGAAACUCCUUACAGGGCUCCGUGGCUAUGGUUAAGUCACUCGUGAAAUCACACAAUAAAAUGUAACUGUCUGCUGUGUCAGAACGACAUUAAAGCGUACAAGUAACAUACAGCAGGCUGAGAUUACACCUUGGGACUUUACAAUAUUUAGAAUUAGGCUUUGUUUUCUUUUAAACGAGAGUUAAAAUACAAGCCGGGGCAAAGGAAAGAUUGAAGCGAUAUUUCUUGAGCAGGUGAAAUCAAAUUAAGAGCUACACGUCUCUUCAGCUUCUUCCUUUUGGCAGAAAGAUCUACUCAAUUGUUCUGAUUUCUUUUUUACUAUUGCAAAUUGUUUCCACUAAGCUAAUGGAGAUACUAAUAAGCUGCUUCAGCAAGCCUGUAAAGUAUAGACCAAAACUAGCUGAAACAUGAAGGUCAUUUUUUUAACACUUCGUGACAACUGCACUGUCGUAUUUGAUGGCAGGCUGUGCCUGGUAGGGAAGUCUUAGAGCUGGUGUGCGGAUCCUGUACUGACCAUGGUGGGGGGAGAAUGCAACACAGACCUUCAGCCUCCCACUGCUAAGCAAGGCUGUGCCGAUAUAUGAAGGAAGAUGUUCAGAGAACUGCAACACUUAAAUUGCCAGGAUCAAAAAUACACCUUCUCCUCUUUUUCUGGAAGCUAUGUCAGUUUCUUCAUAACCAGUGGCAGCAAACUUUAACAAUUUUCUCACUAAUGGAAGAAGCUGUAAUCAAAAUCUUUAUGGGUGGUCAACAGUU
Cygnus olor (mute swan) is the source of this 849-nucleotide long non-coding RNA. RefSeq lists it as uncharacterized. The record is from RefSeq and is a predicted model, not a curated record. NCBI's taxonomy places the organism in Eukaryota, Metazoa, Chordata, Aves, Anseriformes, Anatidae. The transcript has 3 exons.